This 996-nucleotide ribosomal RNA is filed under the name Streptomyces rimosus subsp. rimosus. RNAcentral's name for it is "bacterial SSU rRNA". It matches the Rfam family "Bacterial small subunit ribosomal RNA", at positions 527 to 1520 of the family's 1533-position model. Lineage: Bacteria; Bacillati; Actinomycetota; Actinomycetes; Kitasatosporales; Streptomycetaceae. The record is from RNAcentral.
GUAGGGUGCAAGCGUUGUCCGGAAUUAUUGGGCGUAAAGAGCUCGUAGGCGGUUUGUCGCGUCUGCUGUGAAAUCCCGAGGCUCAACCUCGGGCCUGCAGUGGGUACGGGCAGACUAGAGUGCGGUAGGGGAGAUUGGAAUUCCUGGUGUAGCGGUGGAAUGCGCAGAUAUCAGGAGGAACACCGAUGGCGAAGGCAGAUCUCUGGGCCGUAACUGACGCUGAGGAGCGAAAGGGUGGGGAGCAAACAGGCUUAGAUACCCUGGUAGUCCACCCCGUAAACGUUGGGAACUAGAUGUAGGGUCCAUUCCACGGAUUCUGUGUCGCAGCUAACGCAUUAAGUUCCCCGCCUGGGGAGUACGGCCGCAAGGCUAAAACUCAAAGGAAUUGACGGGGGCCCGCACAAGCGGCGGAGCAUGCGGAUUAAUUCGAUGCAACGCGAAGAACCUUACCAAGGCUUGACAUAUACCGGAAACGUCCAGAGAUGGUCGCCCCGUAAGGUCGGUAUACAGGUGGUGCAUGGUUGUCGUCAGCUCGUGUCGUGAGAUGUUGGGUUAAGUCCCGCAACGAGCGCAACCCUCGUUCUAUGUUGCCAGCACGUAAUGGUGGGAACUCAUGGGAUACUGCCGGGGUCAACUCGGAGGAAGGUGGGGAUGACGUCAAAUCAUCAUGCCCCUUAUGUCUUGGGCUUCACGCAUGCUACAAUGGCCAGUACAAUGGGCUGCGAUACCGCAAGGUGGAGCGAAUCCCAAAAAGCUGGUCCCAGUUCGGAUUGAGGUCUGCAACUCGACCUCAUGAAGUCGGAGUCGCUAGUAAUCGCAGAUCAGCAACGCUGCGGUGAAUACGUUCCCGGGCCUUGUACACACCGCCCGUCAAGUCAUGAAAGUCGGUAACACCCGACGCCGGUGGCCUAACCCGCAAGGGAGGGAGCCGUCUAAGGUGGGAUUGGUAAUUAGGACUAAGUCGUAACAAGGUAGCCGUACCGGAAGGUGCGGCUG